UGAUGCCUAAUUUUCUUGACAGGUCAACCGAUGUGGAAAAAAAUUCAGGAGGAAAAUGAAUUGAGCUGCUGACAUUGGCCUAUUCUGGAAUACAUCAGUUUGCAUCAUAAUCAGAAAGUGAUUUUCGUCAUAGUAGUCAUAGCGUAGUAAGGAUUCACUAUGGAGGUCCCUUACAAGUUAGAAGUGAUUGCUUUGACUACAAUCAUCAUUAAACUGGGUGUCUCAGUUUUCCCAUAUUCUGGCAAAAAUCAACCUCCAAAAUUUGGAGAUUAUGAAGCUCAAAGACAUUGGAUGGAAAUUACGGUUAACUUACCCAUACAGGAUUGGUAUAGAAAUACAACAGACAAUGAUUUAUUGUACUGGGGACUGGAUUACCCUCCUCUCACAGCAUAUCAAAGCUACCUAACUGGAUCGGUGGCUAAGAAAAUCAACCAAGACUAUGUAAAACUCCAUGUGUCUCAGGGAUUUGAAAACUUUGACCACCAAUAUUUCAUGAGGAUGUCCGUCCUUGUGUCUGAUUGUAUUUUCUUUGUCAGUGCACUUUAUUUUUACAUUAGAAGCUUGAAGAUGAGUAAUAAGUACAAAUGGGUUUUCUUUGCUUUGUCCUCACACUCUGGACUCACCCUUAUAGAUUAUGGUCAUUUUCAGUACAAUUGUGUUUCGUUGGGGUUGACCUUGUGGGCAAUCAUUUUUGUUUCUCAGGGAAAGAAUGUGUUAGCAGCUAUUGCCUUUUCAGCUGCCUUAAACUUUAAGCAGAUGGAGUUGUAUCAUGCAAUACUUCUAUUUGCUGGCUUCUAUUUGCUGGCUUCCUGUCAACCUAAAGGUUCCUCACUUCCCUCCCAACUAAAGAAUUUGGUCCAGAUUGGCGCUGCCACAGUGGCGACCUUUGCAAUCAUUUGCGUGGAAUCUUUGAAGACUAUGUCGCCAAUUUUUGGUGCACGCUAAAUGUUGUGAUCAAAAUCAAACGACUAUUAAACCCAACCUCAAUCGCCUCGGGAACUAUCACCUAGGCCAUGCCCGUGCCUGAAAGAAAAGUCAGGACGUUGAUUCGAACGGAUUCGAAUGCAACGAGCACUAAGUACGGUCACAUUAUUGGAGGAAUGACCGUGUGCUUGGUUCGUGAUUUGGAGUCACAAGUGAUAGCUGCAAGCUGAUAUCACUCGAACCACUGCACCAACCCGACUAAGCAUGAUCGAAAAAAGCUACAGCUCAUUAUGGCGUCAGUUUAGCUUUAAUGCUAAAUUUCGCAAACACGGUGAACUAGAUUGACAAUAAUAAAAAAUGAACUUUA
RNA transcript from Daphnia magna, 1291 nucleotides. It is a transcript of the gene named dolichyl pyrophosphate Man9GlcNAc2 alpha-1,3-glucosyltransferase-like, with no coding region annotated. The record is from RefSeq and is a predicted model, not a curated record. The transcript has 5 exons. NCBI's taxonomy places the organism in Eukaryota, Metazoa, Arthropoda, Branchiopoda, Diplostraca, Daphniidae.